Molecule: transfer RNA, 72 nt
Filed under: Micromonospora sp. WMMD812
Lineage: Bacteria; Bacillati; Actinomycetota; Actinomycetes; Micromonosporales; Micromonosporaceae
Description: tRNA-Gly
Rfam family: tRNA
About the family: Transfer RNA (tRNA) molecules are approximately 80 nucleotides in length. Their secondary structure includes four short double-helical elements and three loops (D, anti-codon, and T loops).
Source: RNAcentral
GCGGUACUAGCUCAUCUGGCAGAGCCGCAGCCUUCCAAGCUGCUGGGCGGGGUUCGAGUCCCCGGUACCGCU